AUGAAGCCCUCGCCCGGGCGGAACGCGCCUCGCUGGAAGCAUCCCCCUCCAGCCUGCGGCGGCACGGCGGCCCCCGCGCUACCUCUCGGCUCCCGCACUCCCCGGCCACCGCGGCCAUCCCCUCCCCUCCCUCGAGCCAGGCAGUCCCCAGAGGCACAUUCCUGGCGACUCCAGCUCCGUUACCCGGCCGACCCGGCGUACGGCCGCCCGGGGGAGCAGGGGAGGAAAGGGAGCGGCCGAGGGAGGCGCGGCCACCCGCUCCCGGUCUCUGCGCCCCGACACAAAGCGCCCGGCCCGCCCCGCGCCACCUGUUCCCACCCGGCCCGCGGGGCAGGGGUAGCCUCUUGGCUGCGACCCCACUUCUCCCCGCAGUCCCGCCGCCCCCGUCUCGGCCUUCCUGGUUGCCCUGGGCGCUGCCCGGGCAAACCGCACCGCGCCGCCGCCGCGAAAGCAAAAGCAGGCGGCGGGGCCCAGGAGGAGCCGGGGAGCGCGCGCGGCCACUCACCCGGGCUCCCGGGAGCUGCCCGGGUUCCUCCGGAGCUGUCGGAGGCCGACCGUGGGCGGCAGCGCCGGAGACGGAGCGGGGCGGCGGCAGGAGUGCGGGGAGGGGGCGAAUGGGGGGCGCGGAUCCCACGCGUCCGCCCUGGCGUCGGCUCGGUCGGGCGCUCCCCCUCCGGCUCCGGAGCAGCCCCUCGGCUCCUCGCCGCCUCCCUGACGGAGGGCGGCCGGCAGGCGGCCAAUGGGGACCCCGCGGGCGGGCUGGCGGCACGGCCCACCCACCUCCGAGCUGCCCAGCCGGGCGGGCGCUGCGGGUUCUGCGCAGCGCUGACUGCUCCUCCCCGCUCCGCGCUCCGGGCUCGCUGGCGCGCUCUACCGCGCACACCCCCGCACACACCCACUCACCCACCCCCACCCUGGAGCCGAGGGAGCGCAGCCGCGCGCGUCGUGGGCGCCCCACCUGUGCACGCCGCUCGGCUGCCCCGUUCGGCCGCGUUCCAGAGAAAUGCGAUUCCUUCGUCCGGCAAAUGUGUACCGAGCUCCCGGCGUGUGCCAGGCACGAUGCUCGGCACCGGGAACUCAGAGACCAAAAUGGAUUUUUAA
RNAcentral lists this long non-coding RNA (1101 nucleotides) under Ursus thibetanus thibetanus. RNAcentral describes it as "lncRNA (ENSUTTG00000009648.1)". The record is from RNAcentral. Lineage: Eukaryota; Metazoa; Chordata; Mammalia; Carnivora; Ursidae.